RNAcentral lists this transfer RNA (66 nucleotides) under Euborellia annulipes. RNAcentral describes it as "tRNA-Val". Lineage: Eukaryota; Metazoa; Arthropoda; Insecta; Dermaptera; Anisolabididae. The record is from RNAcentral.
CUAAUUAAAGUUUUAGAAACAUUAUUAUUUACAUUAAUACUAUUCUGUGCGAGUCAGAUAAUUAGA